CCUACGGGUAGGCAGCAGUGAGGAAUAUUGGUCAAUGGGCGGGAGCCUGAACCAGCCAAGCCGCGUGAGGGAAGAAGGUACAGCGUAUCGUAAACCUCUUUUGUCAGGGAACAAAGGCGGGGACUAGUCACCGGAUGAGGGUACCUGAAGAAAAAGCAUCGGCUAACUCCGUGCCAGCAGCCGCGGUAAGACGGAGGAUGCGAGCGUUAUCCGGAUUUAUUGGGUUUAAAGGGUGCGCAGGCGGCCUGUUAAGUCAGCGGGAAAAGCCCGGGGCUCAACCCCGGCGAGCCGUUGAAACUGGCGGGCUGGAGUUGGAGAGAAGUACGCGGAAUGCGCGGUGUAGCGGUGAAAUGCUUAGAUAUCGCGCAGAACCCCGAUUGCGAAGGCAGCGUACCGGCUCCACACUGACGCUGAGGCACGAAAGCGUGGGUAUCGAACAGGAUUAGAUACCCUUGUAGUC
RNAcentral lists this ribosomal RNA (460 nucleotides) under uncultured bacterium. RNAcentral describes it as "partial 16S ribosomal RNA". It matches the Rfam family "Bacterial small subunit ribosomal RNA", at positions 338 to 795 of the family's 1533-position model. The record is from RNAcentral.